UCAGGACGAACGCUGGCGGCGUGCCUAAUACAUGCAAGUCGUACGCUUCUUUUUCCACCGGAGCUUGCUCCACCGGAAAAAGAGGAGUGGCGAACGGGUGAGUAACACGUGGGUAACCUGCCCAUCAGAAGGGGAUAACACUUGGAAACAGGUGCUAAUACCGUAUAACAAUCGAAACCGCAUGGUUUUGAUUUGAAAGGCGCUUUCGGGUGUCGCUGAUGGAUGGACCCGCGGUGCAUUAGCUAGUUGGUGAGGUAACGGCUCACCAAGGCCACGAUGCAUAGCCGACCUGAGAGGGUGAUCGGCCACAUUGGGACUGAGACACGGCCCAAACUCCUACGGGAGGCAGCAGUAGGGAAUCUUCGGCGAAUGGACGAAAGUCUGACCGAGCAACGCCGCGUGAGUGAAGAAGGUUUUCGGAUCGUAAAACUCUGUUGUUAGAGAAGAACAAGGAUGAGAGUAACUGUUCAUCCCUUGACGGUAUCUAACCAGAAAGCCACGGCUAA
RNAcentral lists this ribosomal RNA (506 nucleotides) under Enterococcus faecium. RNAcentral's name for it is "bacterial SSU rRNA". It matches the Rfam family "Bacterial small subunit ribosomal RNA", at positions 24 to 500 of the family's 1533-position model. The record is from RNAcentral. Lineage: Bacteria; Bacillati; Bacillota; Bacilli; Lactobacillales; Enterococcaceae.